GAUGAACGCUGGCGGCGUGCCUAAUACAUGCAAGUCGAGCGAACAGACGAGGAGCUUGCUCCUCUGACGUUAGCGGCGGACGGGUGAGUAACACGUGGAUAACCUACCUAUAAGACUGGGAUAACUUCGGGAAACCGGAGCUAAUACCGGAUAAUAUAUUGAACCGCAUGGUUCAAUAGUGAAAGAUGGUUUUGCUGUCACUUAUAGAUGGAUCCGCGCCGCAUUAGCUAGUUGGUAAGGUAACGGCUUACCAAGGCAACGAUGCGUAGCCGACCUGAGAGGGUGAUCGGCCACACUGGAACUGAGACACGGUCCAGACUCCUACGGGAGGCAGCAGUAGGGAAUCUUCCGCAAUGGGCGAAAGCCUGACGGAGCAACGCCGCGUGAGUGAUGAAGGUCUUCGGAUCGUAAAACUCUGUUAUCAGGGAAGAACAAAUGUGUAAGUAACUAUGCACGUCUUGACGGUACCUAAUCAGAAAGCCACGGCUAACUACGUG
RNAcentral lists this ribosomal RNA (497 nucleotides) under uncultured bacterium. RNAcentral's name for it is "partial 16S ribosomal RNA". It matches the Rfam family "Bacterial small subunit ribosomal RNA", at positions 28 to 507 of the family's 1533-position model. The record is from RNAcentral.